GCAUUCUAGCAACAAUUAUUUGAAAAUAAAACUACAGAGGAGAAGCCUAAAAGCAACAGAAUAUAAAUUGUGAUGAUACUUAACUGUUAAGUUGUCCCUCAAGUGUUUCAGUGAUUCAACCAUCCAGGAAACAGUGUAUGGGAAAGCUCUUUUGUAAGAAAUGGAUCAGGAGAUGUCAUCUUGGUACUGAUCCAGUAUCACAGCAAUUCCGAAUUAAUCAACGGAACACCCAGCUGUUAGGAGAGAUGCUCUGCUGCAGUGAACACACUCCAAGCCUGCCCCUCCAAGCGAUGCUUUCUCUGGGGAUGAUCUUAAGUCUUCUGCAAGGAUCAGGGUGGGGCUACGAGAUGGCAGAGACAAAAGUGGAG
This is a long non-coding RNA of Columba livia (rock pigeon), 368 nucleotides long. RefSeq lists it as uncharacterized. The record is from RefSeq and is a predicted model, not a curated record. The transcript has 3 exons. Lineage: Eukaryota; Metazoa; Chordata; Aves; Columbiformes; Columbidae.